CUGCGCUGGGUAGUGCGUCUUCUGGGCUUGGUGGAAGGAGGGCUGGGCUGCUGGCCGGGUAACGUUCUGCUCGUGUAUCACCGGAAUGGAGAUGUACCCCCGCGGGAGCUGGUGACUGCCCAGGCUGCUCCUGCCGGAGGAAGGCAGGCUGGCCGAGGAGGAUGAGGAUGAGCAGUCAGAGGCAGCUGGAGACUGGGACCGCUGCAAGAGACACAGGGUAGAGGGCAUGACCCCACAAAUGACUCCCCUGGCUUGGCAUCCUGACCACGCCUUCUGCUGUGCACCUCCUCAGGGCAAUCCAUAUUGUAAGACCUCCUAUCUGUAAUUUUCAAUUUUCAAAAUGUGCGGUUAAGACUGAGAGCUCUGGGGCUGGGCGCGGUGGCUCACACCUGUAAUCCCAGCACUUUGGGAGGCCUAGGUGAGUGGACCACCUGAGGUCAGGAGUUCAAGAGCAGCCUGGCCAACAUGGUGAAACCCCAUCUCUACCAAAAAUACAAAAAUUAGCUGGGUGUGGCGGCGCAUGCCUGUAGUGCCAGCUACUCAGGAGGCUGAGGCAGGGGAAUUGCUUGAACCUAGGAGGCAGAGGUUGCAGUGAUUUGAGAUCACACCACUGCACUCCAGUCUGGGCAACAGAGAGAGACUCCACCUCAAACAAAGCAAAACAAAACAAAACAAAACAAAACACACACACACACAACAAAGACUGAAGGCUUUGGAAUCAAGGGGCCUAUGUUCAAAUUCCUAGUAAUUCAAUCAUUUUCUAAGCUUCAUUUGAAAUAUAGGAAGAGUGCCCCUCCCUCACUGGGCUGCUCUGAAGAUGAGGUCAGUCACCUGGGCAUGUGCCUCAGCCCCAGGCCAGCACACAGGAAGCGCUCAUACAAGGGAUGUGUUGUCCCCACUACCCUUUCUCUGCCAAUCUACAGAGAACUCGGCUGAGCAACUGGGAGCUGCCAGCAUCCCGUGUGGCCCAAGGCAGGUCAAGCACCUUUCCCUGCUGGGCCACCUUCUAUUCACCUCGAAAUUGAGAGCAUUUCCUCUUCUAAGUGCUUUGUUAGCCUAAAUUUGUGAAGAUGUCUCGCAUUUAUGUGUCACUUUGAUUUCUUGCAGCAAAACCAUUAUAAAUAUAGGCAUUACUUAUUUUUUUAUUUUUGAGACAGUCUCGCUCUAUCACCUAGGCUGGAGUGCAGUGGUGCGAUCUCGGCUCACUGCAACCUCUGCCUCCUGGGUUUAAGCAAUUCUCCUGCCUCAGCCUCCUGAGUAGCUGGGAUUACAGGAAUGUGCCACCAUGCCCGGCUAAUUUUUGUAUUUUUUGUAGAGACGGGGUUUCACCGUGUUAGCCAGGCUGGUCUUGAAUUCCUGGCCUCAAGUGAUCCACCUGCCUCAGCCAGGUACUACCUCUCUAAGAAAAGAAAAAAGGUAUCCCACAUUAACUGUAACUUUCACUCUCAAGCAGGUGUGAAGCUGAACAGAUUCAGACGGAGCUGAGAGGCAAGCAUGACUCAGGGUGCAGAUAGGACACGGGAGUUUGUGCCCAGGAACAACGCUGGCACACACCACAGGAUGAUGUGCAGACAGGAAAAUGAGAGGACUUACUGCUUAGGAAUCCUACUAGGAAUGCCUCAAAUCUCAGCUAAGAACCAGAUUAAGAACUAUUUUUUAGCUAUUAAUGCACAGAAUCCAUUGACAUAUCCCUGAGAUGUUUGGCUUCAGGAUUAAAAUGCUGUCUUAAAGCAGCUGCCUU
Molecule: long non-coding RNA, 1741 nt
Filed under: Homo sapiens (human)
Lineage: Eukaryota; Metazoa; Chordata; Mammalia; Primates; Hominidae
Description: HSALNT0360266
Source: RNAcentral